This 31-nucleotide non-coding RNA is filed under the name Mus musculus (house mouse). The record is from RNAcentral. Lineage: Eukaryota; Metazoa; Chordata; Mammalia; Rodentia; Muridae.
UCCCAUAAAGAGAAGGAACAAGGUUGCUGGU